This 118-nucleotide ribosomal RNA is filed under the name Punica granatum (pomegranate). The record is from RNAcentral. Lineage: Eukaryota; Viridiplantae; Streptophyta; Magnoliopsida; Myrtales; Lythraceae.
AAAAGUUAUUAUAUCAGCACUAAUGUACUGAAUCCCAUAUCAAAUAUACAAAGUUAAGCGUGUUUGAGUGAUAGUACUGGAAUGAGUGACCUCUUGAAAAGUCAUUCUGUUGCACUUG